UAACAUGUGCUCUACAGCUGCUUUUUGUUCCACCCAGCAAGGUUCAAAUUCACCAAUGAGAUUAAUACAAUGUCAGAGUUAUGUUCCUGUAGCUAAAACUCUUAUCUGGUUUUCUCAUUCAGUGUCUCCGUCUUUCAUUCUCUGAGGUAUACGGGCAGACUGAGUGCUGACUGACGGCCGGAAUUAAGAAUGUGCACACACACUGGCAACUCUCCCUGCAGUACCUCAUAACGUUUAAUCAAAACCAUGCCCGGCACUUGCCCCCGACUUUCCACCGCAGCUACUCCAGUAUUCUUAAACAGAAAAUAAAGUAGUCCUUUUCUUCCCUGUUGAUCUUUUUUCAUACAGUGGAAAGUUUACACAAAGGGGAGCCUUAUCCCUGGAGCCUGCCUCUCUCUCUCCUUAAAUACCUGCAGGAUGAAAUCAAACUCCAUUUUGAAAAUUACAUUAUAAGUUUUCCUCUCUCUCUCUUUCUCUCUCUCUCUCUCUUUCUCUUCCUUUCCUCUGAGCUCGUCAGAUCAGUCCAGCUUUCCAACUCUCCAGGAGAGGCUCAGCCAUCAUUCUGUGGGCGUCAGAAGUCGAUGCAGGUCUUAAUUAAUGCAAGGGGGUUUCAUGGGAGAAGGCUGCAGCUAUGAAGAGCUUUGCCAGAGAAAAUAAAGGAAGCUGGAACAGGAGGUCAAAGGUUGGGAUCUGCCGCAGAGAAGAAACUGGAGGGAAUUCAGACACUUACAAAUAAAGUGCAAAGUGCUUCUGAUCGUGUGCGGCUUGUUUUCUUAGUUACUCCCAUCUGAUGAGGUCAUCACGCUGCGUCAGGUUGGCGGCGCGCUGGGUGCUGUCCCGCAGCUGUGGAGCAUCAGGCUGGAAAUCCCCUCAUCCUCAGUCCUGGGCCUCCGACUGUGUACAUACGAACUUGAGUGUACAGAAUGUGGGGAGGUGUGUGUGUGAGGCUGGCUGUGCCUGUUGAGCUUGGCUGCCGGUGUGUGUAUUUAGGUGCUGGCUUUUGUGGAUGGGGCAUUUGAGAGUGUUUUAUUUUGUAUGUUUGUGCGAGUGUGUCGGCAUGUUUGUGUGUUUGAAUUCUGGAUUCUCUCAGCCCAUGUGAGCCCGGCAUGUAGUUGUGUGUGGCCUACUGAGAGGAGGCGUGUGGCAUGA
Siniperca chuatsi (mandarin fish) is the source of this 1149-nucleotide long non-coding RNA. RefSeq lists it as uncharacterized. The transcript has 3 exons. NCBI's taxonomy places the organism in Eukaryota, Metazoa, Chordata, Actinopteri, Centrarchiformes, Sinipercidae. The record is from RefSeq and is a predicted model, not a curated record.